UACGAAGGGGGCUAGCGUUGCUCGGAAUUACUGGGCGUAAAGCGCACGUAGGCGGAUUGUUAAGUCGGGGGUGAAAUCCUGGAGCUCAACUCCAGAACUGCCUUCGAUACUGGCGAUCUCGAGUUCGGGAGAGGUGAGUGGAACUGCGAGUGUAGAGGUGAAAUUCGUAGAUAUUCGCAAGAACACCAGUGGCGAAGGCGGCUCACUGGCCCGAUACUGACGCUGAGGUGCGAAAGCGUGGGGAGCAACAGG
RNAcentral lists this ribosomal RNA (252 nucleotides) under uncultured bacterium. RNAcentral describes it as "partial 16S ribosomal RNA". It matches the Rfam family "Bacterial small subunit ribosomal RNA", at positions 524 to 775 of the family's 1533-position model. The record is from RNAcentral.